This 802-nucleotide ribosomal RNA is filed under the name uncultured bacterium. RNAcentral describes it as "bacterial SSU rRNA". It matches the Rfam family "Bacterial small subunit ribosomal RNA", at positions 8 to 808 of the family's 1533-position model. The record is from RNAcentral.
AGAGUUCCAUUCUGGCUCAGGAUGAACGCUGGCGGCGUGCUUAACACAUGCAAGUCGAACGAAGCACUUUAUUUGAUUUCCUUCGGGACUGAUUAUUUUGUGACUGAGUGGCGGACGGGUGAGUAACGCGUGGGUAACCUGCCUUGUACAGGGGGAUAACAGUUGGAAACGGCUGCUAAUACCGCAUAAGCGCACAGUAUCGCAUGAUGCAGUGUGAAAAACUCCGGUGGUAUAAGAUGGACCCGCGUUGGAUUAGCUAGUUGGUGAGGUAACGGCCCACCAAGGCGACGAUCCAUAGCCGACCUGAGAGGGUGACCGGCCACAUUGGGACUGAGACACGGCCCAAACUCCUACGGGAGGCAGCAGUGGGGAAUAUUGCACAAUGGGCGAAAGCCUGAUGCAGCGACGCCGCGUGAGCGAAGAAGUAUUUCGGUAUGUAAAGCUCUAUCAGCAGGGAAGAUAGUGACGGUACCUGACUAAGAAGCACCGGCUAAAUACGUGCCAGCAGCCGCGGUAAUACGUAUGGUGCAAGCGUUAUCCGGAUUUACUGGGUGUAAAGGGAGCGCAGGCGGUGCGGCAAGUCUGAUGUGAAAGCCCGGGGCUCAACCCCGGUACUGCAUUGGAAACUGUCGUACUAGAGUGUCGGAGGGGUAAGCGGAAUUCCUAGUGUAGCGGUGAAAUGCGUAGAUAUUAGGAGGAACACCAGUGGCGAAGGCGGCUUACUGGACGAUAACUGACGCUGAGGCUCGAAAGCGUGGGGAGCAAACAAAAUUAGAUACCCUGGUAGUCCACGCCGUAAACG